RNAcentral lists this ribosomal RNA (876 nucleotides) under uncultured crenarchaeote. RNAcentral describes it as "bacterial SSU rRNA". It matches the Rfam family "Archaeal small subunit ribosomal RNA", at positions 21 to 903 of the family's 1478-position model. Lineage: Archaea; Thermoproteati; Thermoproteota. The record is from RNAcentral.
ACCUGACUGCUAUCGGAUUGAUACUAAGCCAUGCGAGUCAUUGUAGCAAUACAAGGCAUACGGCUCAGUAACGCGUAGUCAACCUAACCUAUGGACGGGAAUAACCUCGGGAAACUGAGAAUAAUGCCCGAUAGAACACUAUACCUGGAAUGGUUUGUGUUCCAAAUGAUUUAUCGCCAUAGGAUGGGACUGCGGCCUAUCAGUUUGUUGGUGAGGUAAUGGCCCACCAAGACUAUUACAGGUACGGGCUCUGAGAGGAGUAGCCCGGAGAUGGGUACUGAGACACGGACCCAGGCCCUAUGGGGCGCAGCAGGCGAGAAAACUUUGCAAUGUGCGGAAGCACGACAAGGUUAAUCCGAGUGAUUUGUGCUAAACGAAUCUUUUGUUAGUCCUAGAAACACUAACGAAUAAGGGGUGGGCAAGUUCUGGUGUCAGCCGCCGCGGUAAAACCAGCACCUCAAGUGGUCAGGAUGAUUAUUGGGCCUAAAGCAUCCGUAGCCGGCUCUGUAAGUUUUCGGUUAAAUCUGUACGCUUAACGUACAGGCUGCCGGGAAUACUGCAGAGCUAGGGAGUGGGAGAGGUAGACGGUACUCGGUAGGAAGUGGUAAAAUGCUUUGAUCUAUCGAUGACCACCUGUGGCGAAGGCGGUCUACCAGAACACGUCCGACGGUGAGGGAUGAAAGCUGGGGGAGCAAACCGGAUUAGAUACCCGGGUAGUCCCAGCUGUAAACUAUGCAAACUCAGUGAUGCAUUGGCUUGUGGCCAAUGCAGUGCUGCAGGGAAGCCGUUAAGUUUGCCGCCUGGGAAGUACGUACGCAAGUAUGAAACUUAAAGGAAUUGGCGGGGGAGCACCACAAGGGGUGAAGCCUGCGGUUC